UGGGGGAAUUUUGGACAAUGGGCGAAAGCCUGAUCCAGCAAUGCCGCGUGCGUGAAGAAGGCCUUCGGGUUGUAAAGCACUUUUGUCCGGAAAGAAAUCCUUGGCUCUAAUACAGUCGGGGGAUGACGGUACCGGAAGAAUAAGCACCGGCUAACUACGUGCCAGCAGCCGCGGUAAUACGUAGGGUGCAAGCGUUAAUCGGAAUUACUGGGCGUAAAGCGUGCGCAGGCGGUUUGCUAAGACCGAUGUGAAAUCCCCGGGCUCAACCUGGGAACUGCAUUGGUGACUGGCAGGCUAGAGUAUGGCAGAGGGGGGUAGAAUUCCACGUGUAGCAGUGAAAUGCGUAGAGAUGUGGAGGAAUACCGAUGGCGAAGGCAGCCCCCUGGGCCAAUACUGACGCUCAUGCACGAAAGCGUGGGGAGCAAACAGGAUUAGAUACCCUGGUAGUCCACGCCCUAAACGAUGUCAACUAGUUGUUGGGGAUUCAUUUCCUUAGUAACGUAGCUAACGCGUGAAGUUGACCGCCUGGGGAGUACGGUCGCAAGAUUAAAACUCAAAGGAAUUGACGGGGUCAUAGCUGUUUCCU
RNAcentral lists this ribosomal RNA (586 nucleotides) under uncultured bacterium. RNAcentral describes it as "partial 16S ribosomal RNA". It matches the Rfam family "Bacterial small subunit ribosomal RNA", at positions 354 to 1375 of the family's 1533-position model. The record is from RNAcentral.